Molecule: ribosomal RNA, 520 nt
Filed under: uncultured bacterium
Lineage: Bacteria
Description: bacterial SSU rRNA
Rfam family: Bacterial small subunit ribosomal RNA
Source: RNAcentral
AGGUCAGAGGUAGGAAUUAAAAAUAGAAAUCGGCUCUGCCGAUUUCAACAAAAAUUCCGACAUCCGACUUCCGACUUCUGACUUCCGAUACUAGUGGCGGACGGGUGAGUAACGCGUGGGCAACCUACCCAUAAGCGGGGAUAACAGUUGGAAACGACUGCUAAUACCGCAUAAGCUAUUAAGGUCGCAUGACCAUAAUAGUAAAGGUGGCGAAAGCUAUCACUUAUGGAUGGGCCCGCGUCUGAUUAGCUAGUUGGUGGGGCAGCGGCCUACCAAGGCAACGAUCAGUAGCCGGCCUGAGAGGGUGGACGGCCACACUGGGACUGAGACACGGCCCAGACUCCUACGGGAGGCAGCAGUGGGGAAUAUUGCGCAAUGGGGGAAACCCUGACGCAGCGACGCCGCGUGAGCGAAGAAGGCCUUAGGGUCGUAAAGCUCUGUUGUAAGGGACGAAUGUUUAUCUGGCGAAUAGUCAGAUAAAGUGACGGUACCUUACCAGCAAGCCCCGGCUAACUACGUG